Molecule: transfer RNA, 77 nt
Filed under: Microbacteriaceae bacterium
Lineage: Bacteria; Bacillati; Actinomycetota; Actinomycetes; Micrococcales; Microbacteriaceae
Also listed under: 3 other names
Description: tRNA-Met
Rfam family: tRNA
About the family: Transfer RNA (tRNA) molecules are approximately 80 nucleotides in length.
Source: RNAcentral
GGGGUGUUAGCUCAGCCGGUUAGAGCAGCGGACUCAUAAUCCGUCGGUCGCGGGUUCAAGUCCCGCACACCCCACCA